This 125-nucleotide small RNA is filed under the name Marmota monax (woodchuck). The record is from RNAcentral. Lineage: Eukaryota; Metazoa; Chordata; Mammalia; Rodentia; Sciuridae.
GCUGGGUGUGGUGGCCCAUGCCUGUAAUCCCAACAGCUCCGGAGGCUGAGCCAGGAGGAUCCCAAGUUCAAAGCCAGCCUCAGCAAAGGCGAGGCGCUUAGCAACACAGUGAGACCCUGUCUAUA